Molecule: transfer RNA, 76 nt
Filed under: Clostridiales bacterium S5-A14a
Lineage: Bacteria; Bacillati; Bacillota; Clostridia; Peptostreptococcales; Anaerovoracaceae
Also listed under: 2 other names
Description: tRNA-Met
Rfam family: tRNA
About the family: Transfer RNA (tRNA) molecules are approximately 80 nucleotides in length. Their secondary structure includes four short double-helical elements and three loops (D, anti-codon, and T loops).
Source: RNAcentral
CGCAGGGUAGAGCAGUUGGUAGCUCGUCGGGCUCAUAACCCGGAGGUCGUAGGUUCAAAUCCUUCCCCUGCAACCA